GGAACUUGUGAGAGAGAAUGAGCGGUUAAGGAAGGAGAAUAUGCAACUGAGUCACGAGUUGACCCAGUUGAAAGGACUCUGUAACAGCAUACUAUCGCUGAUGACGAAUUACGCAUCAGAUCACCAUCACCAGUUGGAGUCGGUGAGCGUCCGAGACGGGAAGGCACUAGAGCUCUUACCGGCGAGGCAGGUGAUGGAAGACGAAGGCGCCGUCAGCGACGGGGCUCAUGAGGUGAGACUGAAGAUGGAGGAGACGAUGACAGCGGCAGCGGCAGCGGCGGCGG
RNAcentral lists this unclassified non-coding RNA (284 nucleotides) under Hevea brasiliensis (rubber tree). Lineage: Eukaryota; Viridiplantae; Streptophyta; Magnoliopsida; Malpighiales; Euphorbiaceae. The record is from RNAcentral.